This 557-nucleotide ribosomal RNA is filed under the name uncultured Sphingomonas sp. RNAcentral describes it as "bacterial SSU rRNA". It matches the Rfam family "Bacterial small subunit ribosomal RNA", at positions 102 to 694 of the family's 1533-position model. Lineage: Bacteria; Pseudomonadati; Pseudomonadota; Alphaproteobacteria; Sphingomonadales; Sphingomonadaceae. The record is from RNAcentral.
ACGGGUGCGUAACGCGUGGGAAUCUGCCCUUAGGUUCGGAAUAACAGUUGGAAACGACUGCUAAUACCGGAUGAUGACGUAAGUCCAAAGAUUUAUCGCCUGAGGAUGAGCCCGCGUAGGAUUAGCUAGUUGGUGUGGUAAGAGCGCACCAAGGCGACGAUCCUUAGCUGGUCUGAGAGGAUGAUCAGCCACACUGGGACUGAGACACGGCCCAGACUCCUACGGGAGGCAGCAGUGGGGAAUAUUGGACAAUGGGCGCAAGCCUGAUCCAGCAAUGCCGCGUGAGUGAUGAAGGCCUUAGGGUUGUAAAGCUCUUUUACCCGGGAUGAUAAUGACAGUACCGGGAGAAUAAGCUCCGGCUAACUCCGUGCCAGCAGCCGCGGUAAUACGGAGGGAGCUAGCGUUGUUCGGAAUUACUGGGCGUAAAGCGCACGUAGGCGGCUUUGUAAGUUAGAGGUGAAAGCCUGGAGCUCAACUCCAGAAUUGCCUUUAAGACUGCAUCGCUUGAAUCCAGGAGAGGUGAGUGGAAUUCCGAGUGUAGAGGUGAAAUUCGUAGA